RNAcentral lists this ribosomal RNA (645 nucleotides) under Triticum aestivum (bread wheat). RNAcentral describes it as "partial small subunit ribosomal RNA". Lineage: Eukaryota; Viridiplantae; Streptophyta; Magnoliopsida; Poales; Poaceae. The record is from RNAcentral.
AUGAAAGCACUCUUCUGGAAUGUUAGGGGUUUCGCCGCUCGGGGCCGUCGAUACCAGAUUCAUGAUUUGGUGUGCGGGGAUAACAUUGACAUUUUAGGACUAGUGGAAAUGUUCAAAGAAUUCUUCUCCCCCUCUGAACUGUCUGCGGUUGCAAGCACAGAUAGAUUUGAUUGGCAUUUUCUUCCUGCCUCGGGCCACUCUGGGGGUAUUCUCAUUGGGUCUAAGCGGGACGUGUUUGAUUUCAUUACUUUUGAUCAUGGCAUAUUUUGGGCUAGUGUGGUGGUUCACCACCGACAGUUAAACACUUUAUGGGAAUGUCUAGUGGUUUAUGGCCCCGCUGAUCACUCUCUUGCGCCUAUCUUUCUUGAUGAGCUUUCUAAUAAGACCGAGGCUUGUAACAUUCCUUUAUUUAUUGGCGGUGACUUCAAUCUCCUGCGUUCCCCGACCGAUAGAAAUUUUCCCAAUUCUCAUGUCCGCUUGCCAAUGCUUUCAAUGAGUUCAUUAGUAAUUGUGCCAUUCGUGAGCUUCCUAGGGUGGGGGCUCGUUUCACCUGGUCAAAUCAUCGGACUAAUCCUGUCCGGUCGGUGCUGGACCGGGUCUUUGUUUGUAAUAGAUGGGAUUCCCUCUUCCCUCGUGCCUCGUUGA